RNAcentral lists this ribosomal RNA (66 nucleotides) under Sphingomonas sanguinis. Its description in RNAcentral is "partial 16S ribosomal RNA". Lineage: Bacteria; Pseudomonadati; Pseudomonadota; Alphaproteobacteria; Sphingomonadales; Sphingomonadaceae. The record is from RNAcentral.
AGCAUCAAACUUGAGAGUUUGAUCCUGGCUCAGAACGAACGCUGGCGGCAUGCCUAACACAUGCAA